Molecule: ribosomal RNA, 405 nt
Filed under: uncultured beta proteobacterium
Lineage: Bacteria; Pseudomonadati; Pseudomonadota; Betaproteobacteria
Description: bacterial SSU rRNA
Rfam family: Bacterial small subunit ribosomal RNA
Source: RNAcentral
GAGUUUGAUCAUGGCUCAGAUUGAACGCUGGCGGAAUGCUUUACACAUGACAAGUCGAGCGGCAGCGCGGGGCAACCUGGCGGCGAGCGGCGAACGGGUGAGUAAUGCAUCGGAACAUGUCCAUGUCGUGGGGGAUAGCCCGGCGAAAGCCGGAUUAAUACCGCAUACGCCCGAGAGGGGAAAGUGGGGGACCGCAAGGCCUCACGCGAUUGGGUUGGCCGAUGUCCGAUUAGCUAGUUGGCGGGGUAAUGGCCCACCAAGGCGAUGAUCGGUAGCUGGUCUGAGAGGAUGAUCAGCCACACUGGAACUGAGACACGGUCCAGACUCCUACGGGAGGCAGCAGUGGGGAAUAUUGGACAAUGGGCGCAAGCCUGAUCCAGCCAUGCCGCGUGAGUGAAGAAGGCC